This is a long non-coding RNA of Melitaea cinxia (Glanville fritillary), 151 nucleotides long. RefSeq lists it as uncharacterized. Lineage: Eukaryota; Metazoa; Arthropoda; Insecta; Lepidoptera; Nymphalidae. The transcript is spliced from 2 exons. The record is from RefSeq and is a predicted model, not a curated record.
AUUGACAUUUAUUAGUUAUUUUUUAUAGAUAACAUAAAUGUUUAGUAUUAAAAUUCGCGUCAUUUAAUUCAGUUUAAUAGUCUAGGCGCUAAAUUUCUCACAAGCUUUACUGACGAGCGACUAAUUAAUAAUGGUUAGACACUUUAUUCUC